GCGUUGAUCGGAAUUACUGGGCGUAAAGCGUGCGCAGGCGGUUGUGCAAGACAGAUGUGAAAUCCCCGGGCUUAACCUGGGAAUUGCAUUUGUGACUGCACGGCUAGAAUUUGGCAGAGGGGGGUAGAAUUCCACGUGUAGCAGUGAAAUGCGUAGAGAUGUGGAGGAAUACCGAUGGCGAAGGCAGCCCCCUGGGCUAAGAUUGACGCUCAUGCACGAAAGCGUG
This 226-nucleotide ribosomal RNA is filed under the name uncultured bacterium. RNAcentral's name for it is "partial 16S ribosomal RNA". It matches the Rfam family "Bacterial small subunit ribosomal RNA", at positions 538 to 763 of the family's 1533-position model. The record is from RNAcentral.